AUAAACGCUACCCCUAUUAUCAAAAUAAAAUAGCCCUACCCUAGGCCCAAUUGUGAAUGAACCAUUGCGUUGACUCUUCUCGUAGCGGUUCUUGAAAGCUUUGGCUAAGCCAGGACUUGCCGACCAACAAGUUACUACUGUUUCUUUGGAUAAACCGAAGCCUCUGAGGAAGAAACCAUCUGGAAAGAAAGAAAGAAAAAAAUAAUUCCAUCACAGUGACUGAGAGAACAGAAUUUGCUGAUUGAAUGUCACGAUCCGGUUCUAAAAAAAAGCGAAAGAGAGAGGAUUUAAACAUCCUUAGUGGGAGCAC
Molecule: long non-coding RNA, 310 nt
Organism: Gossypium arboreum
Lineage: Eukaryota; Viridiplantae; Streptophyta; Magnoliopsida; Malvales; Malvaceae
Exons: 3
Source: RefSeq, a predicted model, not a curated record